This is an RNA transcript of Spinacia oleracea (spinach), 832 nucleotides long. RefSeq lists it as uncharacterized. Lineage: Eukaryota; Viridiplantae; Streptophyta; Magnoliopsida; Caryophyllales; Amaranthaceae. The transcript has 4 exons. The record is from RefSeq and is a predicted model, not a curated record.
UUUAUCGCAGCGUACAUGCUAUUGCCCCCUGCAACAAGUCCGCGUUUCAAAAUUUUUUGCUGCAAUAACGUUAUUUCGUCAAUAGCUUUUUCACUUAACAAAAUAUCUCAAAAUUUUAUUUUCCAGCGCUCUCUCAACUCCUUCUCUCCAAGCAUCUGGCCUUCGAACUCAGCCGUCGAACUCAGCCGCCGUCGAACUCAGCAGUCGUCGAACUCAGGCGUUGCUCGGCCCUGCGUCGCUGUCUUCGCCGGUGGGUCUGUGUUCUCGCCUCAUCUCCCCCAUCGCGUUCUGUUCUCGCCGUCACAGUCCCAAGUAUUUCGAUCUCUUACUCUCUCUUGCGCGAAUCUGUUUGAGGAGGGUUUGAUUACAUAAAUUUAAGGCUCAUUUUUCUUGAUACAUUCUCCUAAACUAUAGCCGGAACAGCUAGAUGGACAGCCUCGACUUCGACAACAGCCGUUAGAAUUGACACUCAUUCAGAGGCUUGGACUCGUAGUGGGUAUUUUCAGCAGAGCGAGGAGUCUUCUCUGUUUCAGCAGGAGUAUGAAAUGCGGAAAAUUAAGCAGGUCUAUACUACAGGAAUGCGCCUUAUGGUAGUGAGGAAAUUGAUGUGGUUCGUGAGCAAUGGGCUAAGUUUUUUACCAGAAAGUAUUUAUUAUUGGCCUGAGCGCGUUUGAUCGAGUUGGCUUAGAUGUUAUAGAACAAUAUUUUGUAUUAAAAUGUAUGCGUACGUUGAAAUUGGAACGUACAUAUAUUUAAAUGUAUUAGUACGUGCACUUUGGUUUUGGAAUAUAUACAAAACUACAGUUAUUGUUUAUAUAUUUGUUAUACAGGU